UGCGUAGAUAUAUGGAAGACACCAGUGGCGAAGGCGGCUGUCUGGUCUGCAACUGACGCUGAGGCUCGAAAGCAUGGGUAGCGAACAGGAUUAGAUACCCUGGUAGUCCAUGCCGUAAACGAUGAGUGCUAAGUGUUGGAGGGUUUCCGCCCUUCAGUGCUGCAGCUAACGCAUUAAGCACUCCGCCUGGGGAGUACGACCGCAAGGUUGAAACUCAAAGGAAUUGACGGGGGCCCGCACAAGCGGUGGAGCAUGUGGUUUAAUUCGAAGCAACGCGAAGAACCUUACCAGGUCUUGACAUCUUGUGCAAAUCUUAGAGAUAAGGAGUUCCCUUCGGGGACGCAAAGACAGGUGGUGCAUGGUUGUCGUCAGCUCGUGUCGUGAGAUGUUGGGUUAAGUCCCGCAACGAGCGCAACCCUUGUUAUUAGUUGCCAGCAUUAAGUUGGGCACUCUAGUGAGACUGCCGGUGACAAACCGGAGGAAGGUGGGGAUGACGUCAAAUCAUCAUGCCCCUUAACUUGGGGGUUAAA
Molecule: ribosomal RNA, 530 nt
Filed under: uncultured Lactobacillus sp.
Lineage: Bacteria; Bacillati; Bacillota; Bacilli; Lactobacillales; Lactobacillaceae
Description: bacterial SSU rRNA
Rfam family: Bacterial small subunit ribosomal RNA
Source: RNAcentral